AUUGCACUUGACGACGGGAACCGUGCUGAUGUUGACCUCGGUGAUAGGACUGAACCGUUACAAGCUAUCACCGGGUGAACAUUGGUACUGGUCCCUUAGUCAUGA
Molecule: microRNA precursor, 105 nt
Filed under: Caenorhabditis remanei
Lineage: Eukaryota; Metazoa; Nematoda; Chromadorea; Rhabditida; Rhabditidae
Description: mir-36 microRNA precursor family
Rfam family: mir-36 microRNA precursor family
Source: Rfam by way of RNAcentral